This 240-nucleotide long non-coding RNA is filed under the name Prunus persica (peach). Its description in RNAcentral is "long non-coding RNA (PPER_LNC001428)". The record is from RNAcentral. Lineage: Eukaryota; Viridiplantae; Streptophyta; Magnoliopsida; Rosales; Rosaceae.
CUCUUCGCGAAGGUCGCCAAGGGGAAGCUGAAGGAAGAUCAGGCCCGUAAAUACUUCCAGCAGCUGAUCAGCGCCGUCGAUUUCUGCCACAGCCGAGGCGUCUCCCACCGCGAUUUGAAGCCCGAGAAUCUGCUGGUCGACGAGAACGAAGAUCUGAAAAUCUCCGACUUCGGCCUCUCCGCCCUGCCGGAGCAGCUCCGGAACGACGGCAUGUUGCACACCCAGUGUGGGACCCCUGCU